AAUAAGAAGCUUGGUUAGUAUUUUAGAGUCAAAUUUUACAGGAUAUCAUGUGUAUCAUUGAGUAUAAGAACUAGAACCGCAACCGAUUCCCAAAAGCUAAAGUAAUGUUU
RNAcentral lists this small RNA (110 nucleotides) under Arabidopsis thaliana (thale cress). Its description in RNAcentral is "ATSL197420". The record is from RNAcentral. Lineage: Eukaryota; Viridiplantae; Streptophyta; Magnoliopsida; Brassicales; Brassicaceae.